UGAAGAGUUUGAUCAUGGCUCAGAUUGAACGCUGGCGGCAGGCCUAACACAUGCAAGUCGAACGGUAACAGGAAGCAGCUUGCUGCUUCGCUGACGAGUGGCGGACGGGUGAGUAAUGUCUGGGAAACUGCCUGAUGGAGGGGGAUAACUACUGGAAACGGUGGCUAAUACCGCAUAACGUCGCAAGACCAAAGAGGGGGACCUUCGGGCCUCUUGCCAUCAGAUGUGCCCAGAUGGGAUUAGCUUGUUGGUGAGGUAACGGCUCACCAAGGCGACGAUCCCUAGCUGGUCUGAGAGGAUGACCAGCCACACUGGAACUGAGACACGGUCCAGACUCCUACGGGAGGCAGCAGUGGGGAAUAUUGCACAAUGGGCGCAAGCCUGAUGCAGCCAUGCCGCGUGUAUGAAGAAGGCCUUCGGGUUGUAAAGUACUUUCAGCGGGGAGGAAGGUGUUGUGGUUAAUAACCGCAGCAAUUGACGUUACCCGCAGAAGAAGCACCGGCUAACUCCGUGCCAGCAGCCGCGGUAAUACGGAGGGUGCAAGCGUUAAUCGGAAUUACUGGGCGUAAAGCGCACGCAGGCGGUCUGUCAAGUCGGAUGUGAAAUCCCCGGGCUCAACCUGGGAACUGCAUUCGAAACUGGCAGGCUUGAGUCUUGUAGAGGGGGGUAGAAUUCCAGGUGUAGCGGUGAAAUGCGUAGAGAUCUGGAGGAAUACCGGUGGCGAAGGCGGCCCCCUGGACAAAGACUGACGCUCAGGUGCGAAAGCGUGGGGAGCAAACAGGAUUAGAUACCCUGGUAGUCCACGCCGUAAACGAUGUCUACUUGGAGGUUGUGCCCUUGAGGCGUGGCUUCCGGAGCUAACGCGUUAAGUAGACCGCCUGGGGAGUACGGCCGCAAGGUUAAAACUCAAAUGAAUUGACGGGGGCCCGCACAAGCGGUGGAGCAUGUGGUUUAAUUCGAUGCAACGCGAAGAACCUUACCUGGUCUUGACAUCCACAGAACUUUCCAGAGAUGGAUUGGUGCCUUCGGGAACUGUGAGACAGGUGCUGCAUGGCUGUCGUCAGCUCGUGUUGUGAAAUGUUGGGUUAAGUCCCGCAACGAGCGCAACCCUUAUCCUUUGUUGCCAGCGAUUAGGUCGGGAACUCAAAGGAGACUGCCAGUGAUAAACUGGAGGAAGGUGGGGAUGACGUCAAGUCAUCAUGGCCCUUACGACCAGGGCUACACACGUGCUACAAUGGCGCAUACAAAGAGAAGCGACCUCGCGAGAGCAAGCGGACCUCAUAAAGUGCGUCGUAGUCCGGAUUGGAGUCUGCAACUCGACUCCAUGAAGUCGGAAUCGCUAGUAAUCGUGGAUCAGAAUGCCACGGUGAAUACGUUCCCGGGCCUUGUACACACCGCCCGUCACACCAUGGGAGUGGGUUGCAAAAGAAGUAGGUAGCUUAACCUUCGGGAGGGCGCUUACCACUUUGUGAUUCAUGACUGGGGUGAAGUCGUAACAAGGUAACCGUAGGGGAACCUGCGGUUGGAUCACCUCCUUACCUUAAAGAA
RNAcentral lists this ribosomal RNA (1548 nucleotides) under Salmonella enterica. RNAcentral's name for it is "bacterial SSU rRNA". It matches the Rfam family "Bacterial small subunit ribosomal RNA". RNAcentral also lists the same sequence under 2 other names. The record is from RNAcentral. Lineage: Bacteria; Pseudomonadati; Pseudomonadota; Gammaproteobacteria; Enterobacterales; Enterobacteriaceae.